Long non-coding RNA from Folsomia candida, 353 nucleotides. RefSeq lists it as uncharacterized. NCBI's taxonomy places the organism in Eukaryota, Metazoa, Arthropoda, Collembola, Entomobryomorpha, Isotomidae. The transcript has 3 exons. The record is from RefSeq and is a predicted model, not a curated record.
AAUAUCCAGAAAAUAAUUACACUUGUAAAUUGAUUAAAAUCAUUUCCAGUAACUUUAUGUACGUAUUUAUUAUCCAAUCAACCAACGCACGCUCUCUUUGAGGGGACGUAUCUACAUGUACUAAAGAAAUUUAUUUAAUGCAAUCUGACCGAUUCUGAGAUGGCCACAGCGCGUGGAUCUCUUGGCCAAGUAGUGACACUCAUUAGUGUGGAGGAUGUAUUUGAAAAACUUGGAGGCUUUUCCUGGUUCCAAAUGUGGGCCAUGGUAGUGAUAAUAUCUCCAGAAAUAGUGGCAGCAAUGAUUGCAUUGUCCCCCGUUCUGACGGGGUCGAGUGAUGUCCUCUUCGUUUGCGA